CCCUAUUAUUAGGAAAAAAUCAACAAUUAGAGACUAAGUGUUUUACUGAAAACAAUCUAGGGUGGCGGUUUUUCUAAUUAUCAGAUAAAUGUGUUUUUUAAAAACGAAACUGCACGACCAUCUUUCUUACUCUAGAAAAUUCAUCCUGUACACCGCCGUCUGAAGGGUCAAUGGGAACAUUUAACUCUCCUUCUUUAGGAAGAAAUAAGUCAGGUAAGGUGCAGACUAUGGGUAAGGUAAAAUGCAUUUCUUUUAAGAUUCGAGGAAAUGGGUGAAAACCAUUUCUAAGAGGAAUUUGACAGUAAGAUUGUUUAAUCAUAAAAAUCUGAACUUAUACCAGAAAAAUGUACACAUCGCCCG
This 360-nucleotide ribosomal RNA is filed under the name Columbicola sp. n. 5 DLR-2007. RNAcentral's name for it is "Columbicola n. sp. 5 DLR-2007 partial 12S ribosomal RNA". Lineage: Eukaryota; Metazoa; Arthropoda; Insecta; Psocodea; Philopteridae. The record is from RNAcentral.